GGCCUACCAUGGUUUUAACGGGUAACGGGGAAUUAGGGUUCGGUUCCGGAGAGGGAGCCUGAGAGAUGGCUACCACUUCCAAGGAAGGCAGCAGGCGCGCAAAUUACCCAAUCCCGACACGGGGAGGUAGUGACAAUAAAUAACAAUACAGGGUUCUUUAGGAUCUUGUAAUUGGAAUGAGUACAAUUUAAAUCUCUUAACGAGGAACAAUUGGAGGGCAAGUCUGGUGCCAGCAGCCGCGGUAAUUCCAGCUCCAAUAGCGUAUAUUAAAGUUGUUGCAGUUAAAAAGCUCGUAGUUGAACCUCGGAAUCAAUGGGUCGGUCAUGCCAAUGGUAUGUACUGGCCUCUUUGGUUCUCACCUUCUAAGGAACCAUAAUGUCAUUCAUUUGAUGUUUUGGGGAAUUAGGACUGUUACCUUGAAAAAAUUAGAGUGUUUAAAGCAGGCUCACGCUUGAAUACAUUAGCAUGGAAUAAUGAAAUAGGACAUCGCAUUCUAUUUUGUUGGUUUCUAGGAUCGAUGUAAUGAUUAAUAGGGAUAGUUGGGGGCAUUAGUAUUCAAUUGUCAGAGGUGAAAUUCUUGGAUUUAUUGAAGACUAACUACUGCGAAAGCAUUUGCCAAGGAUGUUUUCAUUAAUCAAGAACGAAAGUUGGGGGAUCGAAGACGAUCAGAUACCGUCGUAGUCUCAACCAUAAACUAUGCCGACUGGGAAUCGGGCGAUGUUAUUUUUCGUGACUCGCUCGGCGCCCCGAG
RNAcentral lists this ribosomal RNA (751 nucleotides) under uncultured Glomeromycotina. RNAcentral's name for it is "bacterial SSU rRNA". It matches the Rfam family "Eukaryotic small subunit ribosomal RNA", at positions 338 to 1092 of the family's 1831-position model. The record is from RNAcentral. Lineage: Eukaryota; Fungi; Glomeromycota.